AACAGAAUUAUUUAUAACCUUGUUUCAUAGAGCUGAGACAGAACAAAGCUUCUGAGAAAGAAAGUUUAAGGGGUCUUUAUAUGGGUUCCUGAGUCUGGCCUUCCUGCAGCUCUAUUUUCUGAACAAGGUCACAUCUACACCCUCUGUGCACACUCUUUAUGAGCACCUGAUCCCCCAAUUAAGACCUACACCUGCAGUGAUGAAACCUCCAUCUCAUCAAUUGCCAACUUUAACAAUCUCCCCAUCUCAAAAGAACUUCUUUAUGGCAGCGGCUCCUGGAAGUCUGAAUUGCUAAGACAAAAGUACCGUUUUGUGGAAAAUGUGUUUAUCUUCCACUUCUUGGGAUGAGCAUGCCAUCCAUUGUCAGCUUGGAUAAACAUGUUCACCUAUUUGGCACUAGGUAGAAGAGUUUCUCUUCCCAAAUGAUCAGUGACUAAAAGGUAUUAGAAUAAGACACACGGCAUGUGAUUUUUUUGGAAACAGGACACUAUGAGAGGAGAGCAGAACUGAGGGUGGGAGGUAGAUUCCUUUCUAUACCUUGCAGGACCAGGACUGAGUUUUAGAGUUCUCCUGAUGGAUAAUGCCACUUAAAAAGUCUAGAACUGAAAGUUAUGAGAACCAGAACAUUACAACCACUUCAGACACAGUCCAUACAUGUGUCUUUUCAUUAUCUGAAGGGCUCAAUCCCCGCUGUCAAGAUGACAGACCUCCUAGUGAAACCACCAUAAUCAUAUCUAAAGUCACAUGAAAAGUGAGACUAUUUCAUUUAAUUUUUUAAAAGUGAAUUUGUAAUGGUGGUUAGUUAUGGUCCACAGACUUUGGAGAUCUUAUGUAAGUUAUCACCUCUAAUCAAGGAAUGUAGCCUGAGAAAUUAAAUUCUAAAUUGUCAGAAUUUCCAAAAUUUUAUCUGCCACAAAUAUUUGGACUGAUAUGCACCAAGUUUAUUCUUUAUUAUGAUAACUCUUCUGGGCCCUUCUAACUUUUUCAUUUCUUGUAAUUCUUUUUUUCAAGUUCACUGAAUUGAAACAAAAUAGGUUGGAAUAAUCAGCACAAAUACUUGAAUCAUGUUAUUAUAAACAGUAUUUGUUUCUGGAAGGAAAUAUUUGCAUAUACAGCCAGACUCCCUGGGUUCUUUUAAUUACUAUCUGUGACUUUGGAUAAAUUUCCUUAAUUCCUCUGAUUCAGUUUUUUCAACUAUAGCAUGUGUUUUGAAAUAGUAUCUAACAUAUAGGAUUUUUGUGAGAAUCAAUGUAAGUCACUCCAAGGAGGGCCUGACACAUGUAGAUAUAAGUUGUCAUUAUUAUUAUUAUUAUUAGUUAUUAUUAUUAUUAUUACCAGUACAGAGUUGUUAAUUCUAUUUUACAUCCAUUAUUAACUCAGAUCUCUGUUCUAAAUGCUCUACAUUUACCAAUAUUCUCUCUCUUCUCCAGAUGCUCUCCAAGGGGAACCGUAUAGUCGGAUCUUUGGAGCAAAGUUGUGUUGAACUUAGUAGGGACAAAUAUGAGGAAUAAUAUAACCACUAAAGUAGUAUGAAAUUAGGAUGGUUAAAUAAUAGAUUAAAUUUAAAAAAGAUAUUCCUCUUUUUUUGUCUUUUUUUUAAUAUAUUUUUAGGGCUGCACCCAAGACAAGGAGGUUCUCAGGCUAGGGGUCAAAUCAGAGCUGUAGCCACUGGUCUAUGACACAGCCACAGCAAUGACAGAUCCAAGCUGCAUCUGUGAUCUACACCACAGCUCAUGGCAAGGCCAGAUCCUUAACCCACUGAGUAAGGACAGGGAUUGAACCUGCAUCCUCAUGGAUAGUAGUCAGAUUUGUUUCCCUGAGUCAUGAUGUAGCCUGAUUCAGAGGUAGCCUUAAUUUGGGUAAGACAAUCAAAACAUGCAGUCCUCUAGGGCAGAAUUGACGUCUAUUUGCAAAAACAUGUCAAUUAAGUUACUCUUUUUAUUUAGUAGGUGAAUAUUUAUAGACUCAAAGUUUGAGAAAUAAACUAAGAAGAAUUUUCACUCCUCAAUAAUAUUUUCAGUUGUCAGUGGAUUGGAAGUCAUCAUAAUCCAUGCUUCUCUCUGGAGACUAUAUACAAAUAUUUGUACUCAAUUGAUAGUUGAUUUUGUGAUGAUUACAGGCCAGAAAAUUUUAUUUCCUCAUGAAUAAUGUUUAUUUGCAUCCUGUAUCUAUUAGUUUCCCUUUCUUGCAUUCCACAUUUAUUUUAUUUUUUUGAUGCCUGCUUCCAAAAAUAUUUAUGGAAGCAAUGUUGACUUAAGGCUUCAUUUACAUAUUGAUCAAAAAAUUAUGUAUUAAGUACUCUUAUAUUCCAGCUAUCAUACUGAGCUGUUGAGUAAAACAAUGUUAUUCAAAAAACAUUCCCUUUAAUAAAAAUUUAAGAUUGAGUUUUAAAGACAAACAUAUACGUCCCUAAAAUUAAGCAUAAUAAAGUGCUACAAUGGAGUAAAAAUAUGGUGGUCUCCAGAAAAUCAUUCACAAUAUUUACUAUGACAUUUAGAGGUAAGUGUAAGCCUUUGAGAUUUAAACAAAAUCUUUUGAUUUGUAUUCAUUUAAUUUCACCUUGAACUUUAGACAAUUUGCCAAAGGAGCUUAGAGACAUAAUUUAUAAAUCAUUCACUAAUUUAUCAGAAAUCAUUUUGUACAAAAUAUUUAUAAAAAGUCUUUUUCUUGGAAGUAAAUAGAAUAGGAAACAAAUCCACACAGGGUGAAGUAAGAUGAGUUAACCAGUAUUUCUUGGUUUCCACGAGGCAAGUCAAUUCAUCUUAAUUCAAAUUUUUCGAUGUAUCCCCACCACCUAGUACCCAAACCUCUGCUCAGUGUUUUGAGUAAAAAAUAGUAGAAGAAGAAUGUAAAAUUUAAAUGAGGUCAAAGCAUUACAUAUUAGCAGUGUUGAAAAGAGUAGAAGACAUUAUAAAAUACAGCUUAAUAGAAUACCUCCAAGUAUUGCAAAAUUAGAUUAAUUACUGGAGCCAAGGAGAGUUGCUAGGGAAAGUUGAAAUGAGUUUUGGUCAAUUAAUUCUAUUUAUAUAUGUGUUAAAAGGAAUUGUGUCUCUAUCUCCAUAUAUCUCUUUUUAGCAAAAUGUCAUCUGCUUUCCUAGAUAGUCUUCAUUUUUGAAAAACUCUGCUUGUACCCCAAAAAGAUUGGUCAUCUGGCCCAUAUACCACCAUGUUUCAUUCAAAAUAUUUCACUGAAGUGUGUAUAUCACAGGACUGAGAUGAAAAGGAGACCAGAGCCGGAAUUCAUUAUCAUGUUUCUCUUUAUACAAACUUGCAGACAAGCUCUAAUUAUGAGGAAGUAGAAGUAUUUGCUGCAUAGAGUGAUGCUGUCUUAAUAAAAUUUUGUAACCAACAGUCUUUAUGUUUUGCUUAUAUCCCUCUUCUCCCUUUUCUUAUUUGGGAGCACUUCAUCUAAAUCAUUGCUUGUUGGACAGUCUUUUGUGAAUCAUAAUCUGCUCUGAUACCACUAUCAGUGAAAAUGGUGCUGUCAACAUUUAUGUCAACGCUGAGGUUGUAAUUUUUGACAGUAAUGUUCCUGGGCUUGAUCUAAAACUCUCUGUUCAGGUUGACAGAGCUGCUUGUCAGAGUCCUUUUUGCCUGACACUUCUAAGUGACUAAGGACCUGGUGGGACUCAUUCUAGGAAAAAAUAAUCUCAUUCUGAGUUCUACCAUUAGGUCCAUGGCUCAUCUGGAAGCACUGCCCAUGUUGCCAAGAGAGAAAUGAGUCUAUAAGUGCAGUGAGUUGGGUCACCAGAGGGUUGCUGUAUAAUGUUCAUUAAUAUCUCUAAAAAUAAAACACUCCAGUGGUGUUUUUGCCUGAAGGCUUGGCCUUGUCAAGACCCAAUGCAUAAAUCUGAAACCCCAUUAAAGGACAUUGGUCUUACUUCUUGUUUCAAAUAUUACGUUUUAACUUAAUUUCUUGUUUUGAAUUACAAAAUUAUACUCUAAAAUGUUAUGAUUUGUAUGAUUAAAGUGCUUUAUUUUGAAUGUUUCUUCUUUAUCCCACUCAUUACUAUGCCCCAAUUGUGUUGUGUUCCUUUCUUCAUGCUUUUUUUUUUUUGGUUAAAUAUUUCAUCUUCCAGAAAUUACCUCCACUUCUUUGUAAUUAUUAGAUUAGCAAAAUUUAAAGAAAUACAAGAUUACACAAAACUAGUAAUAUGUGGUACAUUCAUAUAAAACUCCUGAUGCUAUAAAUUGGUAUAAGCCUUUUCAAAGUCAAUUUAGAAUUAUAUAACAAAAACUGGGAGAGAAGAUGUAUAUAUAUUAUAUAUAUGCAUUUACAUAUACAGAAUAUAUAUACAUUUGCAUAUAUACAUUUGCAUUUGUAUGCACACACAUACACACACACCCAUACCUCUUCCAAUAAUUUUACACUUGGGAAUACAUCCUAACAAGAUAAUUCCAAGUAAGGUAAAAGCUAUAUGCACAAAAGCAUUCAUUACAACAUUAUUUUAAUGGUUAAAAUUGGUUAUAAGUAGAUGUCCAAUAAAAAACUGCUAAACAUAUCAUAUUACCUCAGUUGAUGACAUCAUAUUAAUAUUAAAAGGUAUAAAACUCAGUUUACCAUUUUCUACCUCUGUGAUCACACAUCCUCAAUUUUCCUUUUGAACUGCUUCUUCUUGUGCAGCCCAAAUAUAAAUAUAAUCUAACUCUAUUUUUGCACUAUUCUGGGGUUUGCAGCACCACUGAGAAUUGUUCCAUGAUAACACUUUUCCAAAUAUGAUUAUGACCUCACUAGAAAUGUAAACCUAUUGUGGAUAAGAACAGUGCCUUUUCUAGCCCUAAUCUAGACACUAAAAUAUUAUAGACCAUCAAUAAGUGUGAACAGAAUUGCUCAACACUAAAAACAAAUAACAGUAAUUCUUUGGUGAGCAACAAAAACAAAAUAUAAAAAAAUUGCAAUGUUGUAAGAUUUAAAUGUAUUGAUUGUGAGAACAAGGAGUCAAGAUGAACAAAGAAAAAAAAUGAUUCCCAGAUUAGAUUGCUGUGAUUAUGAGUAAUUUAAUUUUUAUUAUUUCUUUUACUGUUGUAAAUAAAAAUUAAAAAGGGAUAUCAGGAGUUCCCGUCAUUGUACAGCAGAAAUGAAUCUGACUGGGAACCAUGAGGUUGUAGGUUCGAUCCCUGGCCUCACUCAUUGGGUUAAGGUUAUGGCAUUGCCCUGAGCUAUGGUGUAGUUCGCAGACACGGUUCAGAUCUGGUGUUGCUGUGAUUGUGGCUUAGGCUGGCGGCUACAGUUCCCAUUGGACCCCUAGCCUGGGGACCUCCAUAUGCCAUGGGUGCAGCCCUAAAAAAG
This 5290-nucleotide long non-coding RNA is filed under the name Sus scrofa (pig). RNAcentral's name for it is "lncRNA (ENSSSCG00055001479.1)". Lineage: Eukaryota; Metazoa; Chordata; Mammalia; Artiodactyla; Suidae. The record is from RNAcentral.